This 497-nucleotide ribosomal RNA is filed under the name uncultured bacterium. Its description in RNAcentral is "partial 16S ribosomal RNA". It matches the Rfam family "Bacterial small subunit ribosomal RNA", at positions 28 to 507 of the family's 1533-position model. The record is from RNAcentral.
GAUGAACGCUGGCGGCGUGCCUAAUACAUGCAAGUCGAGCGAACAGACGAGGAGCUUGCUCCUCUGACGUUAGCGGCGGACGGGUGAGUAACACGUGGAUAACCUACCUAUAAGACUGGGAUAACUUCGGGAAACCGGAGCUAAUACCGGAUAAUAUAUUGAACCGCAUGGUUCAAUAGUGAAAGACGGUUUUGCUGUCACUUAUAGGUGGAUCCGCGCCGCAUUAGCUAGUUGGUAAGGUAACGGCUUACCAAGGCAACGAGGCGUAGCCGACCUGAGAGGGUGAUAGGCCACACUGGAACUGAGACACGGUCCAGACUCCUACGGGAGGCAGCAGUAGGGAAUCUUCCGCAAUGGGCGAAAGCCUGACGGAGCAACGCCGCGUGAGUGAUGAAGGUCUUCGGAUCGUAAAACUCUGUUAUUAGGGAAGAACAAAUGUGUAAGUAACUAUGCACGUCUUGACGGUACCUAAUCAGAAAGCCACGGCUAACUACGUG